UACGGAGGGGGCUAGCGUUGUUCGGAAUUACUGGGCGUAAAGCGCACGUAGGCGGGCAUUUAAGUCGGGGGUGAAAUCCCGGGGCUCAACCCCGGAACUGCCUUCGAUACUGGGUGCCUAGAGGUCGAGAGAGGUGAGUGGAAUGGCGAGUGUAGAGGUGAAAUUCGUAGAUAUUCGGAGGAACACCAGUGGCGAAGGCGGCUCACUGGCUCGAUACUGACGCUGAGGUGCGAAAGCGUGGGGAGCAAACAGG
Molecule: unclassified non-coding RNA, 253 nt
Filed under: uncultured Rhodobacterales bacterium
Lineage: Bacteria; Pseudomonadati; Pseudomonadota; Alphaproteobacteria; Rhodobacterales
Description: contains 16S-23S intergenic spacer region
Rfam family: Bacterial small subunit ribosomal RNA
Source: RNAcentral